GCUGAACGCUGGCGGCGUGCUUAACACAUGCAAGUCGAACGGAAAGGCCCAAGCUUGCUUGGGUACUCGAGUGGCGAACGGGUGAGUAACACGUGGUUGAUCUGCCCUGCACUUCGGGAUAAGCCUGGGAAACUGGGUCUAUUACCGGAUAGGACGACGGCUUGGAUGCCAUUGUGGAAAGGUUUUUCGGGGUGGGAUGAGCUCGCGGCCUUUCAGCUUGUUUGUGGGGUAAUGGGCUACCAAGGCGUUGGGGGGGGACCGGCCUGAGAGGGGGUACGGGGACAUUGUGAGUGAGAGACGGCGCAGACUCCUACGGGAGGCAGAAGUGUGGAAUAUUGCACAAUGGGGGCAAGCCUGAGGCAGAGACGCCGCGUGGGCGAUGACAGCCUUCGGGUUGUAAACUCCUUUCGCUAGGGACGAAGCGUUUUUGUGACGGUACCGGGUGAAGAAGCACCGGCUAACUACGUG
Molecule: ribosomal RNA, 468 nt
Filed under: uncultured bacterium
Lineage: Bacteria
Description: partial 16S ribosomal RNA
Rfam family: Bacterial small subunit ribosomal RNA
Source: RNAcentral